UACGUAGGGUGCGAGCGUUGUCCGGAAUUAUUGGGCGUAAAGAGCUCGUAGGCGGUCUGUUGCGUCGGCUGUGAAAACCCGGGGCUCAACCUCGGGCCUGCAGUGGGUACGGGCAGACUAGAGUGCGGUAGGGGAGAUUGGAAUUCCUGGUGUAGCGGUGGAAUGCGCAGAUAUCAGGAGGAACACCAAUGGCGAAGGCAGAUCUCUGGGCCGUAACUGACGCUGAGGAGCGAAAGCAUGGGGAGCGAACAGG
RNAcentral lists this ribosomal RNA (253 nucleotides) under uncultured bacterium. Its description in RNAcentral is "partial 16S ribosomal RNA". It matches the Rfam family "Bacterial small subunit ribosomal RNA", at positions 524 to 776 of the family's 1533-position model. The record is from RNAcentral.